RNAcentral lists this ribosomal RNA (427 nucleotides) under uncultured bacterium. RNAcentral describes it as "bacterial SSU rRNA". It matches the Rfam family "Bacterial small subunit ribosomal RNA", at positions 355 to 774 of the family's 1533-position model. The record is from RNAcentral.
UGGGGAAUUUUGGACAAUGGGCGCAAGCCUGAUCCAGCAAUGCCGCGUGCAGGAUGAAGGCCUUCGGGUUGUAAACUGCUUUUGUACGGAGCGAAAAGGUCUGCCCUAAUACGGUGGGCUCAUGACGGUACCGUAAGAAUAAGCACCGGCUAACUACGUGCCAGCAGCCGCGGUAAUACGUAGGGUGCGAGCGUUAAUCGGAAUUACUGGGCGUAAAGCGUGCGCAGGCGGUUAUAUAGGACAGGUGUGAAAUCCCCGGGCUCAACCUGGGACCUGCAUUUGUGACUGUAUAGCUAGAGUACGGUAGAGGGGGAUGGAAUUCCGCGUGUAGCAGUGAAAUGCGUAGAUAUGCGGAGGAACACCGAUGGCGAAGGCAAUCCCCUGGACCUGUACUGACGCUCAUGCACGAAAGCGUGGGGAGCAAACA